UACAGAGGGUGCUAGCGUUGUUCGGAAUCAUUGGGCGUAAAGGGCGUGUAGGCGGUUUGUUAAGUCAUGUGUGAAAUCCCUCGGCUCAACCGGGGAACGACGCAUGAAACUGGCAAGCUAGAGUACCAAAGAGGGGGGUGGAAUUCCCGGUGUAGCGGUGAAAUGCGUAGAUAUCGAGAGGAACACCUGCGGCGAAGGCGGGUUGCUGGGCUGACACUGACGCUGAGGCGCGAAAGCCAGGGGAGCGAACGGG
This 253-nucleotide ribosomal RNA is filed under the name uncultured bacterium. Its description in RNAcentral is "partial 16S ribosomal RNA". It matches the Rfam family "Bacterial small subunit ribosomal RNA", at positions 524 to 776 of the family's 1533-position model. The record is from RNAcentral.